AUGUAGUCUUCAGUUGUGAUAAGAUAGCUAUCUUAAUUUAUAUUCUAGGAGUUAAGACUUUUAAUUGCUACUGUUUUCUCAGUACAGUAUAGAGCAAAGCUGUCAUCUGGGAGUGGGAAUGGACUUUUGGAGCUUUGAGGAAAGAAGGUGUGAUAUGGUUGUCGAGGAGAGAAGAGGAUGGAAUGGAGCAAGGGUCCAGUGAUUGCUGGGUAGCAUUUUGCUGCCAUAGAUACAGAGGACUUGAGAGUGCUUCUAAGUCUGUUUGCCAAGUCUGAGGUCCUGGACACAGACAUCUUGGAGGAACACUAGAGGUCUCUUUGGGGUGAAGAAACCAAGCAAAGUUUAUGGUCCCUGAAGGAAGACAGAGAAGGCAGCCUGAAAUGAGGAGAUUGCCUGGAUGGAAUGUGACUGAUGGAGUCAAUUUCGUAAAGGACCAAGGACAUAGAAGGAUCAGAAAUUUUGGCCAAACAGGAAGUAUGUGCCUUGCAUGGUUAUUUGUCUCUCCACUCUUGAUGCUCCUUCUAUAGUCUGCUAAAGAAAUAGUUUUAUUCCAUUAUUCUAUCAUUAUGUAUCUUUCUCCCCAUCAGACUGAAAAGUAAAAAGGAGAAAAUGAGAAGAUACUUUUAUAUAGAC
RNAcentral lists this long non-coding RNA (633 nucleotides) under Capra hircus (goat). RNAcentral describes it as "lncRNA (ENSCHIG00000006067.1)". Lineage: Eukaryota; Metazoa; Chordata; Mammalia; Artiodactyla; Bovidae. The record is from RNAcentral.